RNAcentral lists this ribosomal RNA (407 nucleotides) under uncultured bacterium. RNAcentral's name for it is "partial 16S ribosomal RNA". It matches the Rfam family "Bacterial small subunit ribosomal RNA", at positions 28 to 526 of the family's 1533-position model. The record is from RNAcentral.
GAUGAACGCUGGCGGCGUGCCUAAUACAUGCAAGUAGAACGCAGUUGCGAACGGGUGCGUAACGCGUAGGUAACUGCCUCAUAGCGGGGGUGACUUCUUGGAAACGAUAGCUAAUACCCCCUACUGUUCGCUGUACCUUCUUUGUAUUAUCUAGUUGGUGAGGUAAAGGCUCCACAAGGCCUCGCUACAUAGCCGACCUGAGAGGUGGAGCGGCCAAAACGGGAAUGAGACACGGCCCAGACUCCUAAGGGAGGCAGCAGUAGGGAAUAAUCGGCAAUGGACGGAAGUCUGAUCGAGCAACGCCGCGGGAGUGAAGAAGGUUUUCGGAUCGUAAAGCUAUGUUGUGAGAGAAGCGGUAACUAACCAGAAAGGGACGGCUAACUACGUGCCAGCAGCCGCGGUAAUAC